ACCUGUCAUUGUUGUUUCACGCUCUCAUUGAAUCGAACCCUAGGUAUGGCUGGACCCGACGCAAGCUUUGUGGAUGAGAUCUGCCAGGGAGAUGAAACUGUUUCAAAAGGCGUAAGAAACCUAGCCAUCUUCUUUGAGACUCUCGGCGCCUCUUCUCCCGAUACAAGGAAACAGUUCAGUUCCAGGGCCCGGGCACCUAGUUCUUAAACCAGCAAUCGAAAAGGUUGCGGAGGAUCCACUGGUUCAGGUUUUGCCUUAGGCACCUAUACCUAUACUCCUGUCGACUUCAGGUCCAAGUUCAGAAGACCAGUGACUGGUGGAGAUGCUUCUAUGGACAAAGGAGUACCUUGCAAUGAGUGUUCUAAGGAGCACCCCCCCCUUAUUCUUAUUGCCCUUAUGCGCCUUGUCAUAUUUGUUAUAAGGUUCACCACCAUAGUUAUUGCCCUUCCUUCGACCAUAUCCCACAGGGUGCAACUUUUGAUCAUGGCUAUCAAAUAAUUUGUGGAUGUGGUAGUGAAUUUAAUGAGGAUAAAUGGGUUUGUACCUCUUGUGGUGGGAGCAGAGCAAUGCUAAAGGCCAAGUAUUGUAACAUUUGUAAAAGCGUGAAACAGCACCGCGCAUAUGAAUGCCCGAAGGACAAGGUUCUUGCUGCCAAGUAUAAAUUGGCCAGAGACAAGAGGCGUUCAGUUGUGCCGAAUAGGAUUCCAUAUCACAUUGCCUAUAUACCAGAAUCAUCAUCAGGAAAGAUCUAUGUUCCAACUCCUCCUCCUGGGUGGGUUUGUGGACACAUGAAAGAAGGCUCGUAGCUGCUGUCGAGAUAGACGAAUGUCAACCCGCUUUGUUUGAGCCACGAGCUCGUAGUUGCUGUCGUGAAAGACGAUUAUGAUUAGACUCGUCUCAGCCUUAACAGAGUCAAAUAGAUUUAUAUUCACUGCGUGUC
Molecule: long non-coding RNA, 940 nt
Organism: Rosa chinensis
Lineage: Eukaryota; Viridiplantae; Streptophyta; Magnoliopsida; Rosales; Rosaceae
Exons: 3
Source: RefSeq, a predicted model, not a curated record